Molecule: ribosomal RNA, 484 nt
Filed under: uncultured bacterium
Lineage: Bacteria
Description: partial 16S ribosomal RNA
Rfam family: Bacterial small subunit ribosomal RNA
Source: RNAcentral
AUUGAACGCUGGCGGCAUGCUUUACACAUGCAAGUCGAACGGUAACAGGGCGCUUGCUCCGCUGACGAGUGGCGCACGGGAGAGUAAUAUCGCGGAACGCACCCAAGAGGGGGGGAUAACGUAGAGAAAGGUACGCUAAUACCGUAUACGCUCUAGGGGAGAAAGCAGGGGACCUCAGCACCUUGUGCUCCCGCACCGGCCGAUAUCUGAUUAGCUAGUUGGUGAGGUAAAGGCUCACCAAGCCGACGAUCAGUAGCUGGUCUGAGAGGACGACCAGCCACACUGGAACUGAGACACGGUCCAGACUCCUACGGGAGGCAGCAGUGGGGAAUUUUGGACAAUGGGCGCAAGCCUGAUCCAGCAAUGCCGCGUGAGUGAAGAAGGCCUUCGGGUUGUAAAGCUCUUUUGUCAGGGAAGAAACGGGAUUGGCUAAUAUCCAGUCCUAAUGACGGUACCUGAAGAAUAAGCACCGGCUAACUACGUG